GGAGGCCACUGCUAUUGGGAUCCGACUAAGCCAUGCGAGUCGAGAGGGUUCGGCCCUCAGCAGACUGCUCAGUAACACGUGGAUAACCUACCCUUAGGUGGAGGAUAAUCUCGGGAAACUGAGAAUAAUACUCCAUAGAUCUAGGAUGCUGGAAUGCAUCUAGAUUGAAAGUUCCGGCGCCUGAGGAUGGGUCUGCGGACUAUCAGGUUGUAGUCAGGGUAAAGACCUGACUAGCCUACGACGGAUAUGGGUUGUGAGAGCAAUAGCCCAGAGACGAUAUCUGAGACACGAUAUCGGGCCCUACGGGGCGCAGCAGGCGCGAAAUCUUCACAAUGUGCGAAAGCACGAUGAGGGGAUCCCAAGUGCUGGCACGUAAGUGUCAGCUGUUUCUUUGUCUAAAAAACAAAGAGAGUAAGAGCUGGGUAAGACGGGUGCCAGCCGCCGCGGUAAUACCUGCAGCUCAAGUGGUGGCCGCUAUUAUUGGGCCUAAAACGUCCGUAGCCGGUUUAGUAAAUGCUUGGGUAAAUUGUGUAGCUUAACUAUACGAAUACCGGGUAGACUGCUAAACUUGGGACCGGGAGAGGCUAGAGGUACUCCUAGGGUAGAGGUGAAAUUCUGUAAUCCUAGGGGGACCACCAGUGGCAAAGGCGUCUAGCUAGAACGGGUCUGACGGUGAGGGACGAAGCCCUGGGGCGCAAACCGGAUUAGAUACCCGGGUAGUCCAGGGUGUAAACGCUGCUUGCUUGAUGUUAGUUGGGCUCCGAGCCCAACUAGUGUCGGANAGAAGUUGUUAAGCAAGCUGCCUGUGAAGUACGGUCGCAAG
Molecule: ribosomal RNA, 823 nt
Filed under: uncultured archaeon
Lineage: Archaea
Description: bacterial SSU rRNA
Rfam family: Archaeal small subunit ribosomal RNA
Source: RNAcentral